RNAcentral lists this ribosomal RNA (497 nucleotides) under uncultured bacterium. RNAcentral describes it as "partial 16S ribosomal RNA". It matches the Rfam family "Bacterial small subunit ribosomal RNA", at positions 36 to 507 of the family's 1533-position model. The record is from RNAcentral.
UCUUCCCUCUUUCUUCGUGCCUAAUACAUGCAAGUCGAGCGAACAGACGAGGAGCUUGCUCCUCUGACGUUAGCGGCGGACGGGUGAGUAACACGUGGAUAACCUACCUAUAAGACUGGGAUAACUUCGGGAAACCGGAGCUAAUACCGGAUAAUAUAUUGAACCGCAUGGUUCAAUAGUGAAAGACGGUUUUGCUGUCACUUAUAGAUGGAUCCGCGCCGCAUUAGCUAGUUGGUAAGGUAACGGCUUACCAAGGCAACGAUGCGUAGCCGACCUGAGAGGGUGAUCGGCCACACUGGAACUGAGACACGGUCCAGACUCCUACGGGAGGCAGCAGUAGGGAAUCUUCCGCAAUGGGCGAAAGCCUGCCGGAGCAACGCCGCGUGAGUGAUGAAGGUCUUCGGAUCGUAAAACUCUGUUAUUAGGGAAGAACAAAUGUGUAAGUAACUAUCCACGUCUUGACGUUACCUAAUCAGAAAGCCACGGCUAACUACGUG